GUGUUCGCUUCGGCAGCACAUAUACUAAAAUUGAAAUGAUACAGAGAAGAUUAGCAUGGCCCCUGUGCAAGGAUGACACGCAAAUUCAUGAAGCAUUCCAUAUUUAA
RNAcentral lists this small nuclear RNA (107 nucleotides) under Prolemur simus (greater bamboo lemur). The record is from RNAcentral. Lineage: Eukaryota; Metazoa; Chordata; Mammalia; Primates; Lemuridae.